Non-coding RNA from Tachysurus fulvidraco (yellow catfish), 684 nucleotides. The record is from the annotation of a RefSeq genome assembly. Lineage: Eukaryota; Metazoa; Chordata; Actinopteri; Siluriformes; Bagridae.
CUGUUAUAAAAAAAACAACCUUUUGCUCACCAGACGUUUGUGUCACACGACUGAAUCAAAGAGCAUGAUGAUGGGGCUGAGGGUCACUCAGUACUACAUCUUUGUUAUAAUGUUAACCAAAGGUGUCAGCAGUGAUGAGAUCAGACUGGACCAGACUCCUGCUGUGGUAAAAAGACCUGGAGAAACUGUGAAGAUCUCCUGUAAGAUAAAUGGCUUUGAUAUGACUGAGUACUACAUACACUGGAUCAGACAGAAACCAGGGAAAGCUCUGGAAUGGAUUGGCAGGAUGGAUACAGGCAGUAAUGAUGCAACAUAUGCAGAGUCUGUGAAGAACCAGCUCACUUUAACAGAAGACGUCUCAGCAAGCACACAGUACUUAGAGGCCAAGAGUCUGAGGACAGAGGACACUGCGGUUUAUUACUGCGCCCGAGACCCCACAGUGACUGGAGCUGAGGAAGCAGCUGUACUAAAACCAGACACACAUUGUAACUGAACUAACUGAAGUUGCUUAACUUAUAAUUCUAACACAGAUGAACACAGUUUGUAUCUAUUUACUGUUCCAAUUAUCUAUAAAUGUACCUGGAUAUAACCCUAAACUGGGUGUGGUCUAAACUAUUAAUAAAAAUAUAGAUUAACUCUGUUUCUAUGCUCCUGGAAACACUGGAAAACGCCAUACUGUAGGUA